This 492-nucleotide ribosomal RNA is filed under the name uncultured bacterium. RNAcentral's name for it is "partial 16S ribosomal RNA". It matches the Rfam family "Bacterial small subunit ribosomal RNA", at positions 29 to 507 of the family's 1533-position model. The record is from RNAcentral.
AGUGAACGCUGGCGGCAUGCCUAACACAUGCAAGUCGAGCGGCAGCACAGUAACUGCUUGCUCUUAGGGGCGGAGAGUGGCGGAAGGGUGCGGAAUAUACCGGAAUCUACUUUUUAGUGGGGGAUAACGUAGGGUAAUUUCCGCUGAUACCGGAUACGACCUACGGGUGAAAGCACGGGAUCUUUUGACCUUGCGCGAUUGAAUGAGCCGAUGUCGGAUUAGCUAGUUGGCGGGGUAAAGGCCCACCAAGGCGACGAUCCGUAGCUGGUCUGAGAGGAUGAUCAGCCACACUGGAACUGAGACACGGUCCAGACUCCUACGGUAGGCAGCAGUGGGGAAUAUUGGACAAUGGACGCAAGCCUGAUCCAGCCAUACCGCGUGAGGGAAGAAGGCCUUCGGGUUGUAAAGCGCUUUUGUCGGGAAAGAAAAGCAGCACGUUAAUACCGCGCGGUAAUGACGGUACCCGAAGAAUAAGCACCGGCUAACUUCGUG